GAAAUGCGAUAAGUAAUGUGAAUUGCAGAAUUCAGUGAAUCAUCGAAUCUUUGAACGCACCUUGCGCUCCUUGGUAUUCCUUGGAGCAUGCCUGUUUGAGUAUCAUGAAAUCUUCAAAGUAAAUCUUUUGUUAACUCAAUUGGUUUCUACUUUGGUAUUGGAGGUCUUUGCAGCUUCACACCUGCUCCUCUUUGUUCAUUAGCUGGAUCUCAGUGUUAUGCUUGGUUCCACUCGGCGUGAUAAGUUAUCUAUCGCUGAGGACACUGUAAAAGGUGGCCAAGGUAAAUGCAGAUGAACCGCUUCUAAUAGUCCAUUGACUUUGACAAUACUUUUAUGAUCUGAUCUCAAAUCAGGUAGGACUACCCGCUGAGCUUAAGC
Molecule: unclassified non-coding RNA, 378 nt
Filed under: plant metagenome
Description: partial contains 5.8S ribosomal RNA, internal transcribed spacer 2, and large subunit ribosomal RNA
Rfam family: 5.8S ribosomal RNA (bases 1-105)
Source: RNAcentral